AUUGAACGCUGGCGGCAGGCCUAACACAUGCAAGUCGAGCGGAGCGGCGGACGGGUGCGUAAGGCCUAGGAAUCUGCCUGGUCGUGGGGGAUGACGUCCGGAAACGGGCGCUAAUACCGCAUCCUAUCAGAUGAGCAUAGGUCGGAUUAGCUAGUUGGUGGGUGAAAGGCCUACCAAGGCGACGAUCCGUAACUGGUAUGAGAGGAUGAUCAGUCACACUGGAACUGAGACACGGUCCAGACUCCUACGUGAGGCAGCAGUGGGGAAGAUUGGACAAUGGGCGAAAGCCUGAUCCAGCCAUGCCGCGUGUGUGAAGGAGGUCUUCGGAUUGUAAAGUACUUUAAGUUGGGAGGCGUUACCAACAGAAGAAGCACCGGCUAACUUCGUGCCAGCAGCCGCGGUAAUUC
This 407-nucleotide ribosomal RNA is filed under the name uncultured bacterium. Its description in RNAcentral is "partial 16S ribosomal RNA". It matches the Rfam family "Bacterial small subunit ribosomal RNA", at positions 30 to 526 of the family's 1533-position model. The record is from RNAcentral.